This 116-nucleotide non-coding RNA is filed under the name Atribacterota. Its description in RNAcentral is "Candidatus Atribacteria THF-I sequence". It matches the Rfam family "THF (Tetrahydrofolate) riboswitch aptamer". From Rfam's summary of the family: THF riboswitch presents a pseudoknot that joins P1-P2 and the loop of P3 and two THF binding. Lineage: Bacteria; Pseudomonadati. The record is from RNAcentral.
GUCAGAGUAGGUGAUAUGCGUUAAGUGUUAGAGAAUGGGACGUUGUCUCUAAACGAAAGGCUUAAAGAUUUAUCAAGAUAUUUUUAAGCUUGCGGUAUAUCAUCGCGUUCGCUGCU